AGAGUUUGAUCCUGGCUCAGGACGAACGCUGGCGGCGUGCUUAACACAUGCAAGUCGAACGGAAAGGCCCUUCGGGGUACUCGAGUGGCGAACGGGUGAGUAACACGUGGGUGAUCUGCCCUGCACUUUGGGAUAAGCCUGGGAAACUGGGUCUAAUACCGAAUAUGACCACGCUCUUCAUGGGGUGUGGUGGAAAGCUUUUGCGGUGUGGGAUGGGCCCGCGGCCUAUCAGCUUGUUGGGGGGGUAAUGGCCUACCAAGGCGACGACGGGUAGCCGGCCUGAGAGGGUGACCGGCCACACUGGGACUGAGAUACGGCCCAGACUCCUACGGGAGGCAGCAGUGGGGAAUAUUGCACAAUGGGCGCAAGCCUGAUGCAGCGACGCCGCGUGAGGGAUGACGGCCUUCGGGUUGUAAACCUCCUUCACCAGGGACGAAGCGCAAGUGACGGUACCUGGAGAAGAAGCACCGGCCAACUACGUGCCAGCAGCCGCGGUAAUACGUAGGGUGCGAGCGUUGUCCGGAAUUACUGGGCGUAAAGAGCUCGUAGGUGGUUUGUCGCGUUGUUCGUGAAAACUCACAGCUUAACUGUGGGCGUGCGGGCGAUACGGGCAGACUAGAGUACUGCAGGGGAGACUGGAAUUCCUGGUGUAGCGGUGGAAUGCGCAGAUAUCAGGAGGAACACCGGUGGCGAAGGCGGGUCUCUGGGCAGUAACUGACGCUGAGGAGCGAAAGCGUGGGGAGCGAACAAGAUUAGAUACCCUGGUAGUCCACGCCGUAAACGGGGGGUACUAGGUGUGGGUUCCUUCCUUGGGAUCCGUGCCGUAGCUAACGCAUUAAGUGCCCCGCCUGGGGAGUGCGGCCGCAAGGCUAAAACUCAAAGGAAUAGACGGGGGCCCGCACAAGCGGCGGAGCAUGUGGAUUAAUUCGAUGCAACGCGAAGAACCUUACCUGGGUUUGACAUGCACAGGACGCUGGUAGAGAUAUCAGUUCCCUUGUGGCCUGUGUGCAGGUGGUGCAUGGCUGUCGUCAGCUCGUGUCGUGAGAUGUUAGGUUAAGUCCCGCAACGAGCGCAACCCCUAUCUUAUGUUGCCAGCGCGUUAUGGCGGGGACUCGUAAGAGACUGCCGGGGUCAACUCGGAGGAAGGUGGGGAGGACGUCAAGUCAUCAUGCCCCUUAUGUCCAGGGCUUCACACAUGCUACAAUGGCCGGUACAAAGGGCUGCGAAUCCGCGAGGUGGAGCGAAUCCCUUGAAAGCCGGUCUCAGUUCGGAUCGGGGUGUGCAACUCGACCCCGCGAAGUUG
Molecule: ribosomal RNA, 1303 nt
Filed under: uncultured bacterium
Lineage: Bacteria
Description: bacterial SSU rRNA
Rfam family: Bacterial small subunit ribosomal RNA
Source: RNAcentral